CAAUAGCGUAUAUUAAAGUUGUUGCAGUUAAAAAGCUCGUAGUUGGAUUUGUGGUGUACUUCGGCGGCCCGUCACUAUGUGAUGGAGCUUGCUGAAGUCGCCAUCCUUGGGUGGAUCCUGUGUGGCAUUAAGUUGUCGUGCAGGGGAUGCCCAUCGUUUACUGUGAAAAAAUUAGAGUGUUCAAAGCAGGCUUAUGCCGUUGAAUAUAUUAGCAUGGAAUAAUAAGAUAGGACCUUGGUACUAUUUUGUUGGUUUGCGCACCAAGGUAAUGAUUAAUAGGGACAGUUGGGGGUAUUCGUAUUUCAUUGUCAGAGGUGAAAUUCUUGGAUUUUUGAAAGACGAACUACUGCGAAAGCAUUUACCAAGGAUGUUUUCAUUAG
RNAcentral lists this ribosomal RNA (380 nucleotides) under uncultured eukaryote. RNAcentral describes it as "partial 18S ribosomal RNA". It matches the Rfam family "Eukaryotic small subunit ribosomal RNA", at positions 592 to 976 of the family's 1831-position model. The record is from RNAcentral.